GAUGAACGCUGGCGGCGUGCCUAAUACAUGCAAGUCGAGCGAACAGACGAGGAGCUUGCUCCUCUGAUGUUAGCGGCGGACGGGUGAGUAACACGUGGAUAACCUACCUAUAAGACUGGGAUAACUUCGGGAAACCGGAGCUAAUACCGGAUAACAUGUUGAACCGCAUGGUUCAACAGUGAAAGACGGUCUUGCUGUCACUUAUAGAUGGAUCCGCGCCGCAUUAGCUAGUUGGUAAGGUAACGGCUUACCAAGGCAACGAUGCGUAGCCGACCUGAGAGGGUGAUCGGCCACACUGGAACUGAGACACGGUCCAGACUCCUACGGGAGGCAGCAGUAGGGAAUCUUCCGCAAGGGGCGAAAGCCUGACGGAGCAACGCCGCGUGAGUGAAGAAGGUCUUCGGAUCGUAAAACUCUGUUAUUAGGGAAGAACAAAUGUGUAAGUAACUAUGCACGUCUUGACGGUACCUAAUCAGAAAGCCACGGCUAACUACGU
Molecule: ribosomal RNA, 496 nt
Filed under: uncultured bacterium
Lineage: Bacteria
Description: partial 16S ribosomal RNA
Rfam family: Bacterial small subunit ribosomal RNA
Source: RNAcentral